GAGACAGAGACGGAAAGAAGGGGCAGAGACAGAGACAGAGACAGAAAGAAGAGGCAGAGACAGAGACAGAGACAGAAAGAAGAGGCAGAGACAGAGACAGAGACAGAAAGAAGGUGCAGAGACAGAGACAGAGACAGAAAGCAGGGGCAGAGACAGAGACAGAAAGAAGAGACAGAGACAUAGACAGAAAGAAGGGGCAGAGACAGAGACAGAGUAAGAAAGAAGGGGCAGAGACAUAGACAGAAAGAAGGGGCAGAGACAGAGGCAGAAAGAAGGGGCAGAGACAGAGACAGAAAGAAGGUGCAGAGACAGAGACAGAGACAGAAAGAAGGGGCAGAUACAGAGACAGAGACAGAAAGAAGAGGCAGAGACAGAAAGAAGAGGCAGAGACAGAGACAGAGACAGAAAGAAGGGGCAGAGACAGAGACAGAGACAGAAAGAAGGGGCAGAGACAGAGACAGAGACAGAAAGAAGGGGCAGAGACAGAGACAGAGUAAGAAAGAAGGGGCAGAGACACAGACAGAAGGAAGGGGCAGAGACAGAAAGAAGGGGCAGAGACAGAAAGAAGGGGCAGAGACAGAGACAGAACGAAGGGGCAGAGACAGAGACAGAAAGAAGGGGCAGAGACAGAGACAGAAAGAAGGGGCAGAGACAGAGACAGAAAGAAGGUGCAGAGACAGAGACAGAAAGAAGGUGCAGAGAAAGAGACAGAGACAGAAAGAAGGGGCAGAGACAGAGACAGAGUAAGAAAGAAGGGGCAGAGACAGAGGCAGAGACAGAAAGAAGGGGCAGAGACAGAGACAGAAAGAAGGGGCAGAGACAGAGGCAGAAAGAAGGGGCAGAGACAGAGGCAGAAAGAAGGUGCAGAGACAGAGGCAGAAAGAAGGUGCAGAGACAGAGACAGAGACAGAAAGAAGGGGCAGAGACAGAGACAGAGACAGAAAGAAGGGGCAGAGACAGAGACAGAGACAGAAAGAAGAGGCAGAGACAGAGACAGAGACAGAAAGAAGGGGCAGAGACAGAGACAGAGACAGAAAGAAGGGGCAGAGACAGAGACAGAGACAGAAAGAAGAGGCAGAGACAGAGACAGAAAGAAGAGGCAGAGACAGAGACAGAAAGAAGGGACAGAGACAGAGACAGAAAGAAGGGGCAGAGACAGAGACAGAAAGAAGGGGCAGAGACAGAGACAGAAAGAAGGUGCAGAGACAGAGAUAGAGACAGAAAGAAGGGGCAGAGACAGAGACAGAGACAGAAAGAAGGGGCAGAGACAGACAGAAAGAAGGGGCAGAAACAGAGACAGAAAGAAGGUGCAGAGACAGAGACAUAGACAGAAAGAAGGGGCAGAGACAGAGACAGAAAGAAGGUGCAGAGACAGAGACAUAGACAGAAAGAAGGGGCAGAGACAGAGACAGAAAGAAGGGGCAGAGACAGAGACAGAAAGGGGCAGAGACAGAGACAGAAAGAAGGGACAGAGACAGAGACAGAAAGAAGGGGCAGAGACAGAGGCAGAAAGAAGUGGCAGAGACAGAGACAGAGACAGAAAGAAGGGGCAGAGACAGAGACAGAGACAGAAAGAAGGGGCAGAGACAGAGACAGAAAGAAGGGGCAGAGACAGAGACAGAGACAGAAAGAAGGGGCAGAAACAGAGACAGAGACAGAAAUAAGGGGCAGAGACAGAGACAGAGACAGAAAGAAGGGUUAGAGACAGAGACAUAGACAGAAAGAAGGGACAGAGACAGAGACAGAGACAGAAAGAAGGGUUAGAGACAAACAGAUGUACAGUUAGAAAUCCAGAGAAAAACCAAUAGUCAGGCAGACAGAAUGAAAGAGACAACCU
Oncorhynchus tshawytscha (Chinook salmon) is the source of this 1837-nucleotide long non-coding RNA. Lineage: Eukaryota; Metazoa; Chordata; Actinopteri; Salmoniformes; Salmonidae. The record is from Ensembl.